GCCGAUGUAGCUCAGUCGGUAGAGCGCGAGGCUCUUAACCUCGUGGCCGCGGGUUCGAGCCCCGUCGUCGGCU
Molecule: non-coding RNA, 73 nt
Organism: Eimeria mitis
Lineage: Eukaryota; Apicomplexa; Conoidasida; Eucoccidiorida; Eimeriidae
Source: Rfam